This 490-nucleotide ribosomal RNA is filed under the name uncultured bacterium. RNAcentral describes it as "partial 16S ribosomal RNA". It matches the Rfam family "Bacterial small subunit ribosomal RNA", at positions 30 to 507 of the family's 1533-position model. The record is from RNAcentral.
AUUGAACGCUGGCGGCAGGCCUAACACAUGCAAGUCGAACGGUAACAGGAAGCAGCUUGCUGCUUAGCUGACGCGUGGCGGACGGGUGAGAAAAGUCUGGGAAGCUGCCUGUUGGAGGGGGAUAACUACUGGAAACGGUAGCUAAUACCGCAUAAUGUCGCAAGACCAAAGAGGGGGACCUUCGGGCCCCUUGCCAUCGGAUGUGCCCAGAUGGGAUUAGCUUGUUGGUGGGGUAACGGCUCACCAAGGCGACGAUCCCUAGCUGGUCUGAGAGGAUGACCAGCCACACUGGAACUGAGACACGGUCCAGACUCCUACGGGAGGCAGCAGUGGGGAAUAUUGCACAAUGGGCGCAAGCCUGAUGCAGCCAUGCCGCGUGUAUGAAGAAGGCCUUCGGGUUGUAAAGUACUUUCAGCGGGGAGGAAGGGAGUAAAGUUAAUACCUUGGCUCAUUGACGUUACCCGCAGAAGAAGCACCGGCUAACUCCGUG